GGUGGCGGCCGGCGCGGGACGGAUGGCCGAUCGCUGGUCGGCCGCCGGGUCCGGUACGGCCGCCGCUCUCCGGUUCGACCCCGCUCCGCUGCUG
This 94-nucleotide transfer RNA is filed under the name Acrocarpospora phusangensis. RNAcentral describes it as "tRNA-Ser". The record is from RNAcentral. Lineage: Bacteria; Bacillati; Actinomycetota; Actinomycetes; Streptosporangiales; Streptosporangiaceae.